RNAcentral lists this microRNA precursor (126 nucleotides) under Hordeum vulgare. RNAcentral describes it as "microRNA MIR1122". It matches the Rfam family "MIR1120/MIR1122 microRNA precursor family". Lineage: Eukaryota; Viridiplantae; Streptophyta; Magnoliopsida; Poales; Poaceae. The record is from RNAcentral.
GUGGUACUCCUUUUGUUCGGAAAUACUUGUCCGAAAAAUAAAUGUAUUUAGAUGUAUUUUAGUUUUUAGAUACAUUCAUUCUUAUCUAUUUUUGUGACAAGUAAUUUCAGAAAGAGGGAGUACUUU